Long non-coding RNA from Apis laboriosa (Himalayan honeybee), 1749 nucleotides. RefSeq lists it as uncharacterized. NCBI's taxonomy places the organism in Eukaryota, Metazoa, Arthropoda, Insecta, Hymenoptera, Apidae. The record is from RefSeq and is a predicted model, not a curated record. The transcript is spliced from 4 exons.
AAUUUUUUUUUUAGAUAAGAAGUUGGAUAAGAAGUGGUUAAGAAGUUUAAACUUUGUAUUAUUUAUAAAAGUUCAAUGGUGCCACUUACAGUGACAAGGUUGUAAAUAAAUCAAGAGAUAACGGCACUUAUUGCGUUGUGCUAAAUAAAGUUUCAUUUUGGUUAGUUUUUUUAUAAUCAUUAUGGUUAUGAUCUGUCACUCGGGGCGCUUCUCGACAAUUUAAUUUUACACCGUUCUACUCUACUCCGCUCGGCUUAAAGAGACGUUUCUGCUGACGUAAAAAUCUUGCCGAGGUGAAAGUCGGUGGCGUGCGACAGUUAUUCAGAUUCAUCGUGGGACUUCGAAAACGGAAAGAACGUAGAAAGAAAUUCCUGGAGCGUGGAGUUUCCUUGAGGUAAAAUCCGAAGAAAGAUUGCAUCAAUUCCGCAUCAUCCACGUUUAUACAGCUGUUACUACUCUCGUUAAUCACUCGUUGCUUUUGUGUGUAUUGCUACCCUAUAAACAAAAAAGGACCUAUAUCGAGAUGUUUUGAAGAUACGAAGAAAAAUUCCAUUGCUGUGAAAUAAGACGAAAUACGAAGAAACGAAGAGAUGAAAAACUGAAUUUCUGAAACAUUUUUGUAAUCGCGAAAAAGACAAAUCACGUGAAAAUCACGCGAAGAAAGUACAAAGUGUUAUACAACCUGGUCGAUUUGGUAAUAAUAAUGUGAUAAAAAAGGAUUGACGUCAUAAUUUAGUAGUUACGUCACUCUUGACGAUACCCUUUUCAAAAUUUGAAUCGGUUAUCUCGAACGAUAUAAAGAACAUGAAGGAAGAAAAAGUGAGAACUUCACUAAAAGAAAUCAUUUUAGAAUAAACGUGAUAGCACGGAGCAUGAGAUACGUUCUUCACUUCACUUCUCGUAUAUUUAUAUUCCAGGUGUGUUUAUUUAAUUUCCUAGAAGAAUAAAAAAAGCAAAAAGAUAUUUACAAAUCGCUAUAAUUCACCAAGAAAUUUAUUCAUUGUUUUAUUAUUUGUUCUAUGCUAAAAUUAUACCAAUGUCGUAUGUUAAUUAACCGUCAUAAAACGAUAUUUCAGGAUGUAAUAGACAAAUAAAUAUUUGCCUAUUAUCACGCACUUCUCCAUUGUUUGUUAAUAUUUCAAAUUAAUAAAAAUAGCCGGCAGUUUUCUCACAAGAAGAGAGGAAAAAAAAAUAGUUAAUUCCCUAUUCUAUUAUGAGUAUACUAAAUUGCAUAAGAGAGUUUUAACAUUAUCUAUUUUAAUUUUUCAACACAGACGACAUUUCUACCGUUAUUAUUCAUACGAAUAAUGUGCAUGAACUUGUUUUCAAGAACGCAUAAUCGAGACCGUAUGCCCGGAUGUUGUCGUAUGACGUAGAUAUCCCGUUUAAAAAACUCAAUGAAAAGAAAUAAGCUUUCCAACGUAUACAGAUAUGUUGUGUAUUCGAAAUUUCACAAACUACUUUCUCCUAUUUUAUUUCGUAUAGAUGUUUUGAAGAUACGAAGAAAAAUUCCAUUGCUAUGAAAUAACACGAAAUACGAAGAAAUAGAGAGAUAAAAAACUGAAUUUCUGCGUGAAAAUCACGUGAAGAAAGUACGUGUUACACCUAACCUAAAUUUCUCCUAAAUUUAUAACUGUGACUUCUCCUAAAUUUAUUAAUAAUUUGAUUAAUAAUUAAAAUAUUAAUAAUUAUUAUUAAAAUCAUUUAUUAAUAAAUUUAUUAAUAUAAAUUAUUAACUGUGACACGAUG